UGCUACGAUCACAGGUGUGAGCCACCACACCCAGCCCGUGCACGUGUUUUUACGUGAACAUAUGUUUUCACUUGAGUAAAUGGAGUGGAAUGGCUGGGCUGUAUAAAAAGUGUCUAAAACUCCAGGUAAAUCACAUCUUAGUAUUAUGAUGAAAAUAGUUUUGAUGUCACAGACUCCUGAACAGGCUUGGGAACCUCUGGAGUCCCCGGACCACAUUUUAUUUGAACCAUGUGUGAGUAAGUUACAGACAUGAUGUCCCCGCUCCCCAAAUACUUUGAUGUGUGCUCACCGCAAAUAAGGGUACGCUCCCACGCAACCACAGGGCCGCCACACAAGCUCCGGGAACAGGCACUGAUGGUUUCCUACUGCUCAAUCCACACGCACCAACUUCCAGCAAUUAUCUCUGCAAUUCCUUUUACAACAGAGGGAUCCUGUUCAGUUUCCCUAUUCUGUACAGAAAUAGAAAGAAACAGCUGGAUGUGUGUGCACAUAUGUACACAUACAUGUAUACGUGUGUGCAUGCAUUUCCCUUUCUCUGAGACGAUCAGUAACGAUACACCGGCAAGAACAAACAUGCCUAGUGCCCGGGGCUGUUUCUAAUCACAAGUGAGCCACGAACACGUGGCUGUGCACCUCGAGGGUCCACUCACGCGUGGAUUCUUUUCAGUAACAGUGGCAGCCCUCGUGCUGGCCCCUCGAGGCUCCCCUUCCACUUCGCCCGUUCCUUCGGCUUCUGCUGCCCACGGGGCUGCAAGAGCACCCCCUCCUCUUCCUCCUCCUCCUCCUCAGCCUGCUCAGCCUGAAGAUGACGAGGACGAAGGCCUUUAUGGUGAUCCACUUCCACUAAACGAAUAAUCAUCCAUCUUCCAAAGAAACUACCAGCACCAAAGUCUUGGUCCCAGUCGACUUUUGGAGGAACAUGGGGCUCUGUCGGACUCAGACCAGCUGCAGGAGUCGGGGGGACCACAGCAGAGCGAGGAGCAGCAGUAACCCAGAGGAGUCCGGCCGGGGUGGAGUGCAGGAAAUCAUCGUCUCUAUCCAGAUGGUGACCUGCACUUCCCGGAGCUUGUAGGGAGGUGGAAGAGAUGCUGGGAAAAGGACAGAGAAAGACACAACCUUAGCCUCUCCUCUGCCGUCUAGGGCAGGGGCAGGAGGGAGGGCUCAUGUCACAUGGUGGCGGUGUCUCUGCCACACCCACAGUGCCCAGAGCAUUGCUUAUCCAGCACGUCACGCACAAUCAACACGAUCACAGAAGUUCCUUAAAGUUAUGGAUGCCGGGAGAAAAUAUCAUAGAAGGACCUGACCCAAUGGAUGGACAGGCUGUUGAAGCUCCCUCUGGGACUCAGCCUCCCUACAUGUAGAAAGGACAUGAUGGCACCAGCCUGAGCCAGCGGAGAGAGUCCUAUCAGCCAAAGCAUGGCAGGGAAGGGGCCAAGGUGGAUGAGAAGGUUUAUGAUUACUACACUACAGUUGCACGAGCUAGGUCAAAACUUGCCAAAUUUGAUGAAAGAUGUGAAUCUAUGGAUUCAAGAAGCUGAGAACAUUCUACGUAGGAUAAACACAAAGAAAUCCACACUGAAAUACAGUAUAAUCAAACUAUGAAGGACAAAGAGAGUUUCGUAAACAGCAAGACAGAAAUGACUCAUCAAGGACCAGGGCUCUUCAACAAGAUUAACAGGGAUUUCUUUUCAUAAUCCAUGGAAACCAGAAGGCAGUGGGAGGAUGUAUUUAAAGUUCUGAAGGUAAAAAACAGUCAACGCCAAAUUUUAUAUUAGGGAAAACUAUCCUUCAAAAAAUGAAGGAAAAAUCAAGACAGUCUCAGUUAAACAAAAACUGAGAGUGUUCAUCAGUAGCAGACCUGUCCUAAAAGAAAUGGAAAGAGGAGUCCUUCGGGCCAAAAUGAAAGGACUCCAGACAGUAUCUCAGUCAUAGAAAGAAAAAAAGAGCCCCAAUAAAGGCCAUUUCAUAGAUAAAUAUAAAAGCCUAUAUUAUCGCAUUUUUG
Molecule: non-coding RNA, 2002 nt
Organism: Microcebus murinus (gray mouse lemur)
Lineage: Eukaryota; Metazoa; Chordata; Mammalia; Primates; Cheirogaleidae
Source: RefSeq, a predicted model, not a curated record